Molecule: long non-coding RNA, 3719 nt
Organism: Myotis myotis
Lineage: Eukaryota; Metazoa; Chordata; Mammalia; Chiroptera; Vespertilionidae
Exons: 3
Source: RefSeq, a predicted model, not a curated record
AAGCCCAGGCCACUGGGUCAGGGGGUGGCGGUGGGGCAGGUGGGCACAGUGGGUCCACUUGAUAGUGGUUCCUGGCGAGUGAUACAGAAAUGUGAGUUUGCACAGAGAUUCUGCUGUCCCAGCCCCCGCUCGCCCAGCUUGAGAGCCAGGAAGGUGUGCGCGGAGCUGGAGCUUGUGGCCCACAGCAGGCAGCCGGGCAGACACGAGAGAGUGGGCAAUGCCAAGGAAGUGCUUCUGGGUGAACUUGGCCACAACUAUCACCACCGACACGACAUGGUAGAGUCCUACGUAGCUGGGGAGGCGUGUGGGGUCGGCACCCUCUCCCCGGAGAGGAGACCACAGCCCUGCACUCAGCCCGGAGAGGGGGCAGGCUGACACGGACUGGGAACUUCCCGUGAGUGGUCUGCGACCCCGCACCCGCCUGGGGUUGGAGGGCAGCCAGGAACAGAGCGCGUUACCCAGCAGACAGAACGAGAGACAGGGAAGGGCAGUGUCUUUUGCGAAGGAGGUACCUGGGGUGGAAAGAACUCUUGCUUCCUGCUGGAGCUAGCGGGCUUCUCCAAGGACUCGGGGAGCAGGUGAGAGGACAGGAGACCCCACUCUCCUGUGAGAGGGUGAAGCCUAGACGCGGCUGUUCUGGGAAGCAGGGGUGAGGGGGCCUGAAGGGUCAGAGGAGCCCAGGCCGGGAGAGCCUUCCCAUAUCCCGCCAGGAAGCCCGGGCUCUGGGGCCUAUUUGUCACUAUAGACCACCCACUCCAGGUCCUGGCUGCAGCCCCGCCCUGGUCACAGCCUGGCCACCGCUCCUGGACCACCUACUGCCCGGCGGCUGGGCUGGUAGCAGGCCUCAGCGGCGGGAGCCAGACUGUGACACUGCGGGCCAGCCGGCCUCAUCCUGUGCAAAAGAGGAGUGUGGUCAGCAGCACCCCAGGAGAGGGACCCCAAGUCCAAUCCCAGCGCUGAGACCAAAACCCCAUCCCCGAGGUCAGGUCUGUGUCAGCAGAGGUGGCGACACGAGGAGAGAGCCUUUGUCAGGCUCUGCACAAGCCCUGGGAAGACAGGGCCACUCAAGGGGAGGGCCUCUGACACGGUUAGGGAGACCUUUGUCACCUGGCUCUCAGGAGAGCGAGGAGGCCACAGCCCUAGGAGAGGGGCAGCCGCCUGGUCACUGAGAUUCCGGGUUCACCACUACCCACCUUGAGACAGCUGAGCUGUCGCUUCCCCCACCCCGCCCUGUUCAUGAGAGGGAGGACUUCUCACCGUCACUCCCUGGCCCCAUGCGCACAUCUGUGGCCACAGGAGCCGCCCCAAUAUAUGUUUGUUGAAUUGAAUUUGCUGUGUGAUUCUCUGCCUAGAACCUCCCUUCAGACCAUGUUCCCUGGUGAAUUUGGUGAAUUGAUGUUUAGCAUUUUUGUUUAUUUGUUUGUUCUUUAACAAAAGGUUGUUUUGGUUUGAGAUUCAGCAAAAACAUAGCUGCAUUCAGCUUCCUCCCCAUUCAGGAGUCAGUAAAUGAGUUGUUUUCCAGUCUGCCGCGAGUCCUUGCCUCAAAUGAGCCUCCAACAAGAUAAUGCAUUUAAAAGCCCUUGGAAAAGUACCAGGCCCCACGCACAUUGAGAUGCUGUCCUCAUGGGAGCGGUGUCUCAGCUCUGCACCCUGAGCCAGGAUCAGCUCGUGGAGAAUGCUGCCCAGGUGGGGGUCCUUGCACACGUGGCUAGGACCGGGGAGAAAGGCUGCCUUCAUCCUCCUGCUGCCAGUUAGGUCCCUAAACCCAGGCCCGAUGGCCCAGGGAACGCUGUGUCUUCCCGGCAGCGUGUGGGGGCCGGGGGCCAGCCGUGUGAGGGCAGGAGGCUCCAGAAGGCCCGCACUCCCUCAAGGGGCAGAGCUGGUCCGCAGGGACUUCCAACUAGUGCACUGGUUUCACUUCAGUCUCCACUGUGAUCCUGAAAGCUUUGGGGAUCAGUCCAGGGCGCAUCCUUCAGUCAAGAAACAAAAUGAAAAAACAAACCCCCAAAUCGAAAACCUCGGAGACCUGGUUUACAUUCACCGUUAGCACAGUUAGAACGCAGGUGGCCUCUAGCCGAAACUAAAACACCCCAUGCUGCUAGGACCCCUUCUCCCACCUCUAAAUCCAUUUAGGAAGUUUCCACAAACUCCGUAACUACAGACCUCUUGGUGAUGCCUGGGACUUCUUUUUUCCACCCACGCGUUGGGUGGCUUUCUGUGGCUAGUUUGCAAAUUUGGGGGGAAGAGGGGGACCUGUGUUCUCUCUGCUUGAUUUCUGCUUCUGUCCUAAGACCUCUGGCCUUUGGAGCUCCUCCCCUACAGAGGAGGGAGAAGAAUCAAUAGACGCACCAAGCCUGAUGCAGACAGACGCAGCGGCUCAGUGCAGCUCAUCGCUGGCUGAACUCCCCAGGGAGCCCUGAGGCCCUGGGCUUGGCCCCAGCGUCCUCACCUAUGAAAUGGAUGGGCCCUAGAUCCCUCUGGUUUCCUGUGACCUGAGAGCAGGAUGCUGAGUCUGCUGCUGAAAGGUUUGGCUCAGCAAACAGGACUUGGCGGAGGCCGGCUCCUGGCCCUGCACUGCGCACCAGGGCCAUCCACUGACUCCUGAGCCUCAGUUUCUUUGUCCCGCAAACCAGAGAGAAGGGGUUGGAGCAUGAUGGCGACCUGCAGCCAGGUGCAGCUACAGCUGGUGUUCCAAAAUGAAGGCACGUUGGCAUUUGGACAGUAGGCGCUGAGCAUUGCGGCAGAGGGACCGGCGCGAGUAGACAAGGACAACAUUCACACUGAGGGCCCUGCAGGAUCCUGCCAUGCUGCCCUCACCUGUGAAGGGCUUUUUUUUUUUUGGAGAUUUUUCAGACACUAAACAAAUGCGUCCUGUGAGUUGGAAGGGCUUGGCGGCACAGCCCUGCCAGCCAACUGGGGCCCAGGAAGGCACCGUUUCCUCCUGUGGCUGGAGAACAAUGAAGUCCCACUUCCUCCACCGCUCAGAGAGAAGAGAACAGAAGACAGCAAGGAGAAAAGGGAAUGAAGGAAAGAAGGACAGACAUCCGGACACAGUUCCUGAUCCCUCCGUGGUCCUCUUUUAAGGUCCUUGCCGGUGCCUUUGGGCUGGGCUCCCAGUGUCGUCGCGGGGGCGUGCACAGAUGCAGAUACAAGAUAAAGGAUGGGCCUGUCCAGCCAAGGUGAGCGCGAGUGUCAUCACCCUGGAGCCAGUGGCGCGGGCAAUCAUUCACACAGACGAUUUCUUCUGAGAUGGACAGCUUCUCGCCCGGCCUCGGGGAGCUGGGAGUGUGACCUUGGGCAAGUUAUUUGCUUCUGGGGACCCUGACGCCCCUGGUGAGAUGAGCAGCACCUGCCAGCCAGCCGCCGUGCGUCCAGGAGCCCUCGCCGCACCUGCCCAGGAAACAUCACAACCUGCCAAGCAGGGCCGGGCAGGGGCGGCCGGCCACUGGCGCCAUCCCGGUGGGCUGAGCUUGGGCCUUCCCCAGCGGUUUGUCUGAACUCAGCUGCGGGCACGUUUUCCCAGCAGGCCUCCCGCUAAGGAGACAACAGGGCUGGCGUCCGGUGUCACCACCGAUGGGGCUGUACUGAGUGGGUGGCACUCCCCGCGGCCUGGUUUCCUCGUCUGUCGAACAAGGAUGGCGAUCAUGCAAAGUGCUUGGGUCUUACGGUUGCUGCUACUGUGUCCAUGAGGACGUUUCAGUAAUAAAGUCCGAGGUGGC